GCAGUGGCUCAGCGGUAGAGCGCUCCCCUAGCACUUGAGAGGUGCUGGGUUCCAUCCUCAGCACCACA
Molecule: transfer RNA, 68 nt
Filed under: Marmota monax (woodchuck)
Lineage: Eukaryota; Metazoa; Chordata; Mammalia; Rodentia; Sciuridae
Description: tRNA.Ala
Source: RNAcentral